GGGGGUUUGGGGUAGUGUAGUGGUCAAGGCUGCACUCUGGCGCUGUGAAGGCGUGGGUUCGAAUCCCACAGCCCUCU
RNAcentral lists this transfer RNA (77 nucleotides) under Absidia glauca. RNAcentral describes it as "tRNA-Ala". Lineage: Eukaryota; Fungi; Mucoromycota; Mucoromycetes; Mucorales; Cunninghamellaceae. The record is from RNAcentral.